Long non-coding RNA from Daphnia magna, 392 nucleotides. RefSeq lists it as uncharacterized. The record is from RefSeq and is a predicted model, not a curated record. The transcript has 2 exons. NCBI's taxonomy places the organism in Eukaryota, Metazoa, Arthropoda, Branchiopoda, Diplostraca, Daphniidae.
AGGAAAAGAUCCUUUCAAUGACCAAGUCAGGAAGUUCUGCCCAGUUGCCUUGACUCUUGUCUUCCACAUAACAUUCUCUUUCUUCUUCUUCACCAGUAGUGGCUUCAUGGCUUUUACCUUUGCCGCGGUUGUCUUGUUUCCAGGCUGCGCCAACCAUAAUAGUGGAGCUUACUGGUUUUAUCCAGCUGAUUACAAAAUGACUACCUAAUUCGACCACACGAUCGACCGCGUUUUGUGAAACUCUGCAGCACUCACCAAUAGAUAGUCAACGAGAAAAAAUCAAAAUACAUUACAGUAAAUAAGACAUUUCGCCGACCAGUGAAUGCGAAUAUAUGUUUCGUCUUUUCCAAAAUGUGUUUUGCUAUUUGGAUAUAGACUUCUGCGCCAUCUAA